GUCUUUUUGAUUAAUAAUUUAAAGUCUAAUCUGCCCACUGAUAUAAUAUUAAAGGGCUGCAGUAUUUUGACUGUACAAAGGUAGCAUAAUCAUUAGUCUCUUAAUUGGUGACUUGUAUGAAAGAUUUGAUGAAAUAUAUACUGUCUCUUUUUGAUUUGUAAAAUUUAAUUUUUUAGUUAAAAAGCUAAAAUAUGUUUAAAAGACGAGAAGACCCUAUAGAGUUUUAUAUUUAUAUAAAUUAAAAUUUUUUGUAAGAUUUAAAAUUUUGAUAUAUUUAAAUAUUAUGUUGGGGUGACAAAAAAAUUUGAAUAACUUUUUUUAUAAAUUAAACAUUUAUUAAUGAAUAUUUGAUCCGUAAUUUACGAUUAUAAGAAAAAAUUACCUUAGGGAUAACAGCGUAAUUUUUUUUUUUAGUUCAAAUAAGAAUUAAAGUUUGCGACCUCGAUGUUGGAUUAAGAUAAAAUUUAAAUGCAAAAGUUUAAAAUUUUUGAUCUGUUCGAUCAUUAAAAUCUUACA
This 516-nucleotide ribosomal RNA is filed under the name Parnassius cephalus elwesi. RNAcentral's name for it is "partial 16S rRNA". The stretch from base 389 to 516 matches the Rfam family "Bacterial large subunit ribosomal RNA", at positions 2473 to 2600 of the family's 2925-position model. The record is from RNAcentral. Lineage: Eukaryota; Metazoa; Arthropoda; Insecta; Lepidoptera; Papilionidae.